AGGACGAACGCUGGCGGCGUGCUUAACACAUGCAAGUCGAACGGAAAGGCCCUUUCGGGGGUACUCGAGUGGCGAACGGGUGAGUAACACGUGGGUGAUCUGCCCUGCACUUUGGGAUAAGCCUGGGAAACUGGGUCUAAUACCGAAUACACCUUGCUGGCUGCAUGGCCUGGUGGGGGAAAGCUUUUGCGGUGUGGGAUGGGCCCGCGGCCUAUCAGCUUGUUGGUGGGGUGAUGGCCUACCAAGGCGACGACGGGUAGCCGGCCUGAGAGGGUGUCCGGCCACACUGGGACUGAGAUACGGCCCAGACUCCUACGGGAGGCAGCAGUGGGGAAUAUUGCACAAUGGGCGCAAGCCUGAUGCAGCGACGCCGCGUGAGGGAUGACGGCCUUCGGGUUGUAAACCUCUUUCAGUAUCGACGAAGCGCAAGUGACGGUAGGUACAGAGAAGCACCGGCCAACUACGUGCCAGCAGCCGC
Molecule: ribosomal RNA, 478 nt
Filed under: uncultured bacterium
Lineage: Bacteria
Description: SSU rRNA
Rfam family: Bacterial small subunit ribosomal RNA
Source: RNAcentral